AGCUAGUGCAAACGGAAUACUGA
This 23-nucleotide non-coding RNA is filed under the name Arabidopsis thaliana (thale cress). Lineage: Eukaryota; Viridiplantae; Streptophyta; Magnoliopsida; Brassicales; Brassicaceae. The record is from RNAcentral.